Molecule: ribosomal RNA, 499 nt
Filed under: uncultured bacterium
Lineage: Bacteria
Description: partial 16S ribosomal RNA
Rfam family: Bacterial small subunit ribosomal RNA
Source: RNAcentral
GACGAACGCUGGCGGCGUGCUUAACACAUGCAAGUCGAACGGGCCCGCUCUCUUUUUUGGGGGUGGGUUGAGUGGCGAACGGGUGAGUAUCACGUGAGUAACCUGCCCCCUGCUCCUGGAUAACUGCUUGAAAGGGCGGCUAAUACGGGGUGUGCCGGCUGGUCCGCAUGGGCCUGGUCGGGAUAGUUUCAUCUUCGGGUGUUUCGGUGGGGGAUGGGCUCGCGGCCUAUCAGCUUGUUGGUGGGGUGAUGGCCCACCAAGGCGGUGACGGGUAGCCGGCCUGAGAGGGUGGGCGGCCACACUGGGACUGAGACACGGCCCAGACUCCUGCGGGAGGCAGCAGUGGGGGGUAUUGCACAAGGGGCGGAAGCCUGAUGCAGCGACGUCGCGUGAGGGAUGGAGGCCUUCGGGUUGUGAACCUCUUUCUCCGGUGGUGAAGGCCCUGUCCGUUGCGGCGGGGUUGACGGUAGCCGGGUAUGAAGCGCCGGCUAACUACGUG